GACGAACGCUGGCGGCGUGCUUAACACAUGCAAGUCGAACGGAGAGGCCCUGCUUUUGUGGGGGGCUCGAGUGGCGAAGGGGAGAGUAACACGUGAGGAACCUGCCCUGGACUUUGGGAUAACUUAAGGAAACUGGGGCGAAGACAGGAUGGGAGCUCCUGGUGCAUGGGGGUGGUGGGAAAGGUUCGGCGGUUGGGGAUGGGCGGGAGUCUUACCAGGGUGUUGGUGGGGUAGUGGGUUACCAAGGCUUUGACGGGUAGCCGGCCUGAGAGGGUGACCGGCCACAUUGGGACUGCGAUACGGCCCAGACUCCUACGGGAGGCAGCAGUGGGGAAUAUUGCACGAUGGGCGGAAGCCGGAUGCAGCAACGCCGCGUGCGGGAUGACGGCCUUCGGGUUGUAAACCGCUUUCGCCUGUGACGAAGCGUGAGUGACGGUAAUGGGUAAAGAAGCACCGGCUAACUACGUG
RNAcentral lists this ribosomal RNA (468 nucleotides) under uncultured bacterium. Its description in RNAcentral is "partial 16S ribosomal RNA". It matches the Rfam family "Bacterial small subunit ribosomal RNA", at positions 28 to 507 of the family's 1533-position model. The record is from RNAcentral.